UUUAAUUGCACUGCAUUGACUGAUUUCUGUUACUGCAUUACUUAGAAAAUAAUUACACUGAGCACUGUGGUCUGCAUCCUGAACAGAUAAAUGCUGGCUAGUGAAUCUUACUGUUACUUGAAUUGUUUUAUGGAUGCAACUAAGUGCUCAAAGGACGGUUACCUCUAAUCCUGCAGUUGGUUUAAUGGUGUGUUUUUGGGUGUAGUUUUUCUGGUUCUUUACAUUUUCCAAAAUCAUUAUAGAAAAAUUAUUUAUUGACUUGAAUGGUGAAGUAUGCAUCAUGGCAUGAAAUAUAUUUCAAGAUGAAUCUCAUUUAUUUUUUUUGAAUUCAGUUCUUUUUGUUCUUGCCACUAGAUGGCAAUCUAGAGUUUUGACACUAUUCGAUUCCAGAUUAACACUGAGGUUAAAUAAUCCAUCUGUCAAUCACAAACUUCAUUUUAGUGGUCACUUUCAUUGUCGUAAAGAAUCAGAAGCCUUUUCAUAAUCCAGCAAAACCUUGUCACAUGGAAUUUGGAUAUAGUUGGUAGCAGACUUUUUGAUCCUGUCCAAUUGACUGGUUACUAGUCAUAUAACUUUAUAAGAUAGUCGAACCAUUAGCCUUGUCAGGAAUGUAGCAAGAACAGCAAGGUUUAUAUUUAUGUGUUUGAAUUGCGUGGAGUAUUUAAAUGGUCUUUAACAGGAAAUGGUUGAAAUAAGUAUACCUAUUCAAUCACGGUUUUCUCUGUUCUUGCUCUUUUUUUCUUUUUUCCCCCCCAAAGAUUCUUGUCUUGUAAUUUGUUCUUGCGUGAAAGUUGAGCGUGUUAAUGUGCCAUCCUGGAUUAAGCCAUUCUUGUCCAGGUCCAUGGCUUCCAAUCAUUAAUGAAGGCACAGAGGGACAGAUGGUGAAACCCUAGAUGUGCAAUAUGAUUAGUACUAGUAGUUCAAAAUACUGCUUCAGACUUUUGUGAAACCAAUGGAUUUUAUUGAUUCGUGUUGUGUCUGGGUUGCAUGUCAUGACCUUUUUUUUGUGAUAAAAAUGCUACAGAUGUCUGAGUUUUCGGUUGUGUGACAUAAACAUUAGUGUGGCAUUACUGUUAUCUCACGUGAACAGGUGAAAAUGCAUGCUUUCAGAUGCCUGUUUGUGGGGUUUUUGGCCGACGUUAGCAGAAUGAGAUGAACAUGGGCCUCACUAAGUCCAUCCGUGUCCAUAAUUGACGGAACAGUAUCCUCAGCGCUGUGUUGGACCGUUGCAUGGUGAAUACAGGAAUGUUAUUAUUAACUGUAACGUUUUUGAUCUGGGGGGGAAUCAGUAAAAAAAAUAAAUAAAGUAUGCUUCAAUUUAAGUUUAAAAAAAUAUUAUAAUAAUGCUAUCGUUAAUGGCA
This is a long non-coding RNA of Anguilla anguilla (European eel), 1361 nucleotides long. RefSeq lists it as uncharacterized. Lineage: Eukaryota; Metazoa; Chordata; Actinopteri; Anguilliformes; Anguillidae. The transcript has 2 exons. The record is from RefSeq and is a predicted model, not a curated record.